AGCAGGUUGAUGUUAAUGUUAUUCUCUUAAGCGAGUGUAAAUUAAGUGAAGUGUAUAUUAAACUAGAUAAACUUCAUUCAAACUGUAGAAGGUGUAGUUGAUAGAAAGUGCAGGAAGUCGAAAAAAUGUUUGGACUCGGAAUUAUUGUUUAAAAUGUUUAGACAUCUGAGUUAGGCCUAUUGACUUGCAUUUGACGUCGUGAAGGCACUCCUGCUUUACAACACCUUCAUUCGCAACCGUUUCAGAACGCAGCGUUGCUAGACAAGCCUUCUGCAUCAAAAACAGCAGUUUGGAGUCUGCGAGCCACUUCAUUGCAGUCAGGCAAAAGUUCCAUCGACAUCGCUCUUCUGUGCGCGUCUCAACUGACCCCUUCCGCAUAGCGUCUGCUCAAGUCAGAACCGCCUGCACGUAGCGUUGGGACGUCAGCCUUUUCUCAACAAAAGCGGUUUGGAGUCUGCAAGCCACUAGGUACUUGCAGAAUGGCAGAAGCAAACGUAAAUAUGGCAGAAGAAAACGCCGAUGACGGAAUAAUGAACGCGUACUUAGAAUUGUACGGUGACAAUGUUGUACCGUCACCGAUGGCAAGACCUGAAUUCCAUGAAGAUUUUACGAUUCUCCCAAUGACACCAGUGGCGGUGUACUCGAAGCGCAUGAGAGAUCUACAACCUGGAAUAUCGGAAGCCCAGUUAAACCAGGACUUCAGAGCUUUACCUUACCGGAAAGGGCUAGGUUUAAAAGAGAGGCUGACAUUAAUAAGAUGAUAAAUACAAACAAUAUACUCGACUUCCUCCUAAGGCAACCACCACACAAACGAAAAAAUUAUGUGUGCUUCAACAGAUAUAGGUUCUUAGAAACUUUUGGUAGGGACAUAUUCCUGGCGGACUACCCAAUUGAAGAGUAUCCGCCUUAUCGUUAGUGAGGUAUUGUUCAAUUGGGUACAUCUUCCGCCUCGAUGGCGAUGUUAACUUGUGAGCUUAAGGCUAGUGUGGAUCCUGGCCUUGCUUCAUAUUUACAGUGCCUUGCUUAAUAUUUACAGUGCCUUGCUUCAUAUUUACAGUGCCUUGCUUCAUAUUUACAGAGCCAUGCU
Long non-coding RNA from Hyalella azteca, 1087 nucleotides. RefSeq lists it as uncharacterized. The record is from RefSeq and is a predicted model, not a curated record. The transcript has 4 exons. NCBI's taxonomy places the organism in Eukaryota, Metazoa, Arthropoda, Malacostraca, Amphipoda, Hyalellidae.